GGACCAAGGAGUCUAGCAUGUGCGCGAGUCAUUGGGACUCUAACUAAACCUAAAGGCGCAAUGAAAGUGAAGGUCCGCCAUGCGCGGACCGAGGGAGGAUGGACGGUCUCAAGGGACCGCCCCGCACUCCCGGGGCGUCUCGUUCUCNCGUUCGAGAAGAGGCGCACCCAGAGCGUACACGCUGGGACCCGAAAGAUGGUGAACUAUGCCUGGUCAGGACGAAGUCAGGGGAAACCCUGAUGGAGGUCCGUAGCGAUUCUGACGUGCAAAUCGAUCGUCGGAACUGGGUAUAGGGGCGAAAGACUAAUCGAACCAUCUAGUAGCUGGUUCCCUCCGAAGUUUCCCUCAGGAUAGCUGGCGCUCGCUUCUCGCGAGUCUCAUUCGGUAAAGCGAAUGAUUAGAGGCAUUGGGGUCGAAACGGCCUCAACCUAUUCUCAAACUUUAAAUGGGUGAGAUCUCCGGCUUGCUUGAACUGUGAAGCCGCGAGAUAUCGGAUCAGAGUGCCAAGUGGGCCACUUUUGGUAAGCAGAACUGGCGCUGUGGGAUGAACCAAACGCUGAGUUAAAGCGCCUAAAUCGACGCUUAUGGGAUACCAUGAAAGGCGUUGGUAACUUAAGACAGCAGGA
RNAcentral lists this ribosomal RNA (626 nucleotides) under Camenta innocua. RNAcentral's name for it is "eukaryotic LSU rRNA". It matches the Rfam family "Eukaryotic large subunit ribosomal RNA", at positions 663 to 1245 of the family's 3401-position model. The record is from RNAcentral. Lineage: Eukaryota; Metazoa; Arthropoda; Insecta; Coleoptera; Scarabaeidae.